UCAGCUAUAUGAUAACCGCCAAUAGCCUU
RNAcentral lists this small RNA (29 nucleotides) under Bombyx mori (domestic silkworm). RNAcentral describes it as "ovarian small RNA-25719". The record is from RNAcentral. Lineage: Eukaryota; Metazoa; Arthropoda; Insecta; Lepidoptera; Bombycidae.